GCCGCAGUCGUCUAGGGGUAAGGACACCAGUUUGUGGUUCAUCAUUGAAUGGAAUCACUGGAAACCGAGGUUCGAGUCCUCGCUGCGGCA
This 90-nucleotide transfer RNA is filed under the name Metarhizium rileyi. RNAcentral's name for it is "tRNA-His". It matches the Rfam family "tRNA". Rfam says of the family: Transfer RNA (tRNA) molecules are approximately 80 nucleotides in length. Their secondary structure includes four short double-helical elements and three loops (D, anti-codon, and T loops). Lineage: Eukaryota; Fungi; Ascomycota; Sordariomycetes; Hypocreales; Clavicipitaceae. The record is from RNAcentral.